This 253-nucleotide ribosomal RNA is filed under the name uncultured bacterium. RNAcentral describes it as "partial 16S ribosomal RNA". It matches the Rfam family "Bacterial small subunit ribosomal RNA", at positions 524 to 776 of the family's 1533-position model. The record is from RNAcentral.
UACGAGGGGGGCAAGCGUUGUUCGGAAUUACUGGGCGUAAAGGGCGCGUAGGCGGCCUUCUAAGUCGAACGUGAAAUCCCCGGGCUCAACCCGGGAACUGCGUCCGAUACUGGAAGGCUUGAAUCCGGGAGAGGGAUGCGGAAUUCCAGGUGUAGCGGUGAAAUGCGUAGAUAUCUGGAGGAACACCGGUGGCGAAGGCGGCAUCCUGGACCGGUAUUGACGCUGAGGCGCGAAAGCCAGGGGAGCAAACGGG